UUCCGUAGGGUGACCUGCGGAGGGAUCAUUACCGAGUUUACAACUCUCAAACCCCUGUGAACAUACCUUAAACGUUGCCUCGGCGGAUCAGCCCGCGCCCCGUAAAACGGGACGGCCCGCCAGAGGAACCCCAAACUCUAUUGUCUUUAUUGUAUCUUCUGAGUAAAAAACAAACAAAUAAAUCAAAACUUUCAACAACGGAUCUCUUGGUUCUGGCAUCGAUGAAGAACGCAGCAAAAUGCGAUAAGUAAUGUGAAUUGCAGAAUUCAGUGAAUCAUCGAAUCUUUGAACGCACAUUGCGCCCGCCAGUAUUCUGGCGGGCAUGCCUGUUCGAGCGUCAUUUCAACCCUCAAACCCCCCCGGGUUUGGUGUUGGGGAUCGGCCGUGUUCUUGCAACCGGCCGGCCCCGAAAUCUAGUGGCGGUCUCGCUGCAGCCUCCAUUGCGUAGUAGCUAACACCUCGCAACUGGAACGCGGCGCGGCCAAGCCGUUAAACACCCCAACUUCUGAAUGUUGACCUCGGAUCAGGUAGGAAUACCCGCUGAACUUAAGCAUAUCAAUAAGGCGGAGGAAA
This 573-nucleotide ribosomal RNA is filed under the name Fusarium lateritium. Its description in RNAcentral is "eukaryotic LSU rRNA". The stretch from base 187 to 340 matches the Rfam family "5.8S ribosomal RNA". The record is from RNAcentral. Lineage: Eukaryota; Fungi; Ascomycota; Sordariomycetes; Hypocreales; Nectriaceae.